This 441-nucleotide ribosomal RNA is filed under the name uncultured bacterium. RNAcentral describes it as "partial 16S ribosomal RNA". It matches the Rfam family "Bacterial small subunit ribosomal RNA", at positions 338 to 795 of the family's 1533-position model. The record is from RNAcentral.
CCUACGGGAGGCAGCAGUGGGGGAUAUUGCACAAUGGGGGGAACCCUGAUGCAGCGACGCCGCGUGGGUGAAGGAGUGCUUCGGCAUGUAAAGCCCUAUCGGCAGGGAAGAAGCAAGACGGUACCUGACUAAGAAGCCCCGGCUGACGACGUGCCAGCAGCCGCGGUACUACGUAGGGGGCGAGCGUUAUCCGGAUUCACUGGGUGUAAGGGGAGCGUAGACGGCCAUGCAAGCCAGGGGUGAAAGCCCGGGGCCCAACCCCUGGACUGCCCUUGGAACUGCAUGGCUUGAGUGCGGGAGGGGCAGGCGGAAUUCCUGGUGUAGCGGUGAAAUGCGUAGAUAUCAGGAGGAACACCGGCGGCGAAGGCGGCCUGCUGGACUGCGACUGACGUUGAGGCUCGAAAGCGUGGGGAGCGAACAGGAUUAGAUACCCGUGUAGUC